CGGGAGGCAGCAGUGGGGAAUUUUGCGCAAUGGGCGAAAGCCUGACGCAGCAACGCCGCGUGAGUGAUGAAGGUCUUCGGAUCGUAAAGCUCUUUCGGCUGGGACGAAAACGGCUGGGUUAGCAGCCCGGUCCUUGACGGUACCGGAAGAAGAAGCACCGGCUAACUCUGUGCCAGCAGCCGCGGUAAUACAGAGGGUGCAAGCGUUGUUCGGAAUUAUUGGGCGUAAAGCGCGUGUAGGCGGCGGAGCAUGUCGGGUGUGAAAGCCCUCGGCUUAACCGAGGAAGUGCGCCCGAAACUGCUUUGCUGGAGUGCUGGAGAGGGUAGCGGAAUUCCCGGUGUAGAGGUGAAAUUCGUAGAUAUCGGGAGGAACACCAGUGGCGAAGGCGGCUACCUGGACAGACACUGACGCUGAGACGCGAAAGCGUGGGGAGCAAACAGGAUUAGAUACCCCGGUAGUCCU
RNAcentral lists this ribosomal RNA (462 nucleotides) under uncultured bacterium. RNAcentral describes it as "bacterial SSU rRNA". It matches the Rfam family "Bacterial small subunit ribosomal RNA", at positions 342 to 797 of the family's 1533-position model. The record is from RNAcentral.